AUGGUCUUAGCUUGCUAAGGCUGAUGGCGACCGGCGCACGGGUGAGUAACACGUAUCCAACUUGCCGUCUACUCUUGGCCAGCCUUCUGAAAGGAAGAUUCAUCCAGGAUGGCAUCAUGAGUUCACAUGUCCGCAUGAUUAAAGGUAUUUUCCGGUAGACGAUGGGGAUGCGUUCCAUUAGAUAGUAGGCGGGGUAACGGCCCACCUAGUCAACGAUGGAUAGGGGUUCUGAGAGGAAGGUCCCCCACAUUGGAACUGAGACACGGUCCAAACUCCUACGGGAGGCAGCAGUGAGGAAUAUUGGUCAAUGGGCGAUGGCCUGAACCAGCCAAGUAGCGUGAAGGAUGACUGCCCUAUGGGUUGUAAACUUCUUUUAUAAAGGAAUAAAGUCGGGUAUGCAUACCCGUUUGCAUGUACUUUAUGAAUAAGGAUCGGCUAACUCCGUGCCAGCAGCCGCGGUAAUACGGAGGAUCCGAGCGUUAUCCGGAUUUAUUGGGUUUAAAGGGAGCGUAGAUGGAUGUUUAAGUCAGUUGUGAAAGUUUGCGGCUCAACCGUAAAAUUGCAGUUGAUACUGGAUGUCUUGAGUGCAGUUGAGGCAGGCGGAAUUCGUGGUGUAGCGGUGAAAUGCUUAGAUAUCACGAAGAACUCCGAUUG
RNAcentral lists this ribosomal RNA (654 nucleotides) under uncultured Bacteroides sp. Its description in RNAcentral is "bacterial SSU rRNA". It matches the Rfam family "Bacterial small subunit ribosomal RNA", at positions 64 to 715 of the family's 1533-position model. Lineage: Bacteria; Pseudomonadati; Bacteroidota; Bacteroidia; Bacteroidales; Bacteroidaceae. The record is from RNAcentral.